AUUGAACGCUGGCGGCAGGCCUAACACAUGCAAGUCGAGCGAGCGGCGGACGGGUGAGUAAUGUAUGGGGACUGCCCGAUAGAGGGGGAUAACUACUGGAAACGGUGGCUAAUACCGCAUACUAUCGGAUAACCCAUAUGGGAUUAGCUAGUAGGUGGGGUAAAGGCUCACCUAGGCGACGAUCUCUAGCUGGUCUGAGAGGAUGAACAGCCACACGGGGACUGAGACCAGGCCCCGACGCUCACGGAGGCAGAAGUGGGGAAGAUUGAGCAAUGGGCGAAAGCCUGAUGCAGCCAUGCCGCGUGUAUGAAGAAGUCCUUAGGGUUGUAAAGUACUUUCAGCGGGGAGGCGUUACCCGCAGAAGAAGCACCGGCUAACUCCGUGCCAGCAGCCGCGGUAAUUC
This 403-nucleotide ribosomal RNA is filed under the name uncultured bacterium. Its description in RNAcentral is "partial 16S ribosomal RNA". It matches the Rfam family "Bacterial small subunit ribosomal RNA", at positions 30 to 526 of the family's 1533-position model. The record is from RNAcentral.